This 2708-nucleotide ribosomal RNA is filed under the name Shigella sonnei. RNAcentral's name for it is "partial 23S ribosomal RNA". It matches the Rfam family "Bacterial large subunit ribosomal RNA". The record is from RNAcentral. Lineage: Bacteria; Pseudomonadati; Pseudomonadota; Gammaproteobacteria; Enterobacterales; Enterobacteriaceae.
GGAACUGAAACAUCUAAGUACCCCGAGGAAAAGAAAUCAACCGAGAUUCCCCCAGUAGCGGCGAGCGAACGGGGAGGAGCCCAGAGCCUGAAUCAGUGUGUGUGUUAGUGGAAGCGUCUGGAAAGGCGCGCGAUACAGGGUGACAGCCCCGUACACAAAAAUGCACAUAUUGUGAGCUCGAUGAGUAGGGCGGGACACGUGGUAUCCUGUCUGAAUAUGGGGGGACCAUCCUCCAAGGCUAAAUACUCCUGACUGACCGAUAGUGAACCAGUACCGUGAGGGAAAGGCGAAAAGAACCCCGGCGAGGGGAGUGAAAAAGAACCUGAAACCGUGUACGUACAAGCAGUGGGAGCACGCUUAGGCGUGUGACUGCGUACCUUUUGUAUAAUGGGUCAGCGACUUAUAUUCUGUAGCAAGGUUAACCGAAUAGGGGAGCCGAAGGGAAACCGAGUCUUAACUGGGCGUUAAGUUGCAGGGUAUAGACCCGAAACCCGGUGAUCUAGCCAUGGGCAGGUUGAAGGUUGGGUAACACUAACUGGAGGACCGAACCGACUAAUGUUGAAAAAUUAGCGGAUGACUUGUGGCUGGGGGUGAAAGGCCAAUCAAACCGGGAGAUAGCUGGUUCUCCCCGAAAGCUAUUUAGGUAGCGCCUCGUGAAUUCAUCUCCGGGGGUAGAGCACUGUUUCGGCAAGGGGGUCAUCCCGACUUACCAACCCGAUGCAAACUGCGAAUACCGGAGAAUGUUAUCACGGGAGACACACGGCGGGUGCUAACGUCCGUCGUGAAGAGGGAAACAACCCAGACCGCCAGCUAAGGUCCCAAAGUCAUGGUUAAGUGGGAAACGAUGUGGGAAGGCCCAGACAGCCAGGAUGUUGGCUUAGAAGCAGCCAUCAUUUAAAGAAAGCGUAAUAGCUCACUGGUCGAGUCGGCCUGCGCGGAAGAUGUAACGGGGCUAAACCAUGCACCGAAGCUGCGGCAGCGACGCUUAUGCGUUGUUGGGUAGGGGAGCGUUCUGUAAGCCUGCGAAGGUGUGCUGUGAGGCAUGCUGGAGGUAUCAGAAGUGCGAAUGCUGACAUAAGUAACGAUAAAGCGGGUGAAAAGCCCGCUCGCCGGAAGACCAAGGGUUCCUGUCCAACGUUAAUCGGGGCAGGGUGAGUCGACCCCUAAGGCGAGGCCGAAAGGCGUAGUCGAUGGGAAACAGGUUAAUAUUCCUGUACUUGGUGUUACUGCGAAGGGGGGACGGAGAAGGCUAUGUUGGCCGGGCGACGGUUGUCCCGGUUUAAGCGUGUAGGCUGGUUUUCCAGGCAAAUCCGGAAAAUCAAGGCUGAGGCGUGAUGACGAGGCACUACGGUGCUGAAGCAACAAAUGCCCUGCUUCCAGGAAAAGCCUCUAAGCAUCAGGUAACAUCAAAUCGUACCCCAAACCGACACAGGUGGUCAGGUAGAGAAUACCAAGGCGCUUGAGAGAACUCGGGUGAAGGAACUAGGCAAAAUGGUGCCGUAACUUCGGGAGAAGGCACGCUGAUAUGUAGGUGAAGUCCCUUGCGGAUGGAGCUGAAAUCAGUCGAAGAUACCAGCUGGCUGCAACUGUUUAUUAAAAACACAGCACUGUGCAAACACGAAAGUGGACGUAUACGGUGUGACGCCUGCCCGGUGCCGGAAGGUUAAUUGAUGGGGUCAGCGCAAGCGAAGCUCUUGAUCGAAGCCCCGGUAAACGGCGGCCGUAACUAUAACGGUCCUAAGGUAGCGAAAUUCCUUGUCGGGUAAGUUCCGACCUGCACGAAUGGCGUAAUGAUGGCCAGGCUGUCUCCACCCGAGACUCAGUGAAAUUGAACUCGCUGUGAAGAUGCAGUGUACCCGCGGCAAGACGGAAAGACCCCGUGAACCUUUACUAUAGCUUGACACUGAACAUUGAGCCUUGAUGUGUAGGAUAGGUGGGAGGCUUUGAAGUGUGGACGCCAGUCUGCAUGGAGCCGGCCUUGAAAUACCACCCUUUAAUGUUUGAUGUUCUAACGUGGACCCGUGAUCCGGGUUGCGGACAGUGUCUGGUGGGUAGUUUGACUGGGGCGGUCUCCUCCUAAAGAGUAACGGAGGAGCACGAAGGUUGGCUAAUCCUGGUCGGACAUCAGGAGGUUAGUGCAAUGGCAUAAGCCAGCUUGACUGCGAGCGUGACGGCGCGAGCAGGUGCGAAAGCAGGUCAUAGUGAUCCGGUGGUUCUGAAUGGAAGGGCCAUCGCUCAACGGAUAAAAGGUACUCCGGGGAUAACAGGCUGAUACCGCCCAAGAGUUCAUAUCGACGGCGGUGUUUGGCACCUCGAUGUCGGCUCAUCACAUCCUGGGGCUGAAGUAGGUCCCAAGGGUAUGGCUGUUCGCCAUUUAAAGUGGUACGCGAGCUGGGUUUAGAACGUCGUGAGACAGUUCGGUCCCUAUCUGCCGUGGGCGCUGGAGAACUGAGGGGGGCUGCUCCUAGUACGAGAGGACCGGAGUGGACGCAUCACUGGUGUUCGGGUUGUCAUGCCAAUGGCACUGCCCGGUAGCUAAAUGCGGAAGAGAUAAGUGCUGAAAGCAUCUAAGCACGAAACUUGCCCCGAGAUGAGUUCUCCCUGACCCUUUAAGGGUCCUGAAGGAACGUUGAAGACGACGACGUUGAUAGGCCGGGUGUGUAAGCGCAGCGAUGCGUUGAGCUAACCGGUACUAAUGAACCGUGAGG